AUACCACGCGCGGUACAGACGUGUGUCAUAAUUUCAGAAUUUCGUCAUAAGAAACAAAAGUAAUUAUUAAGUAAAAACAUCUAGAAUUUUAGUUUUGGCUCCCUCGACCGAGAUGUCGUCGAGAACCUUCCACAAAAGCGGCGCCAGGGAGGGGCGGAGUUUCGUUACAGAUGCUGCUAUGCAGGGUGUGUGAUAGUUAUUGUAGACUAUUCAAAGAGUUUCUUGAAUGUUGACUUCGAUACAAAUACAUACAUUGUAUGUCAUGUGAGUAUAAUGUAUGGGCACCGGAAAUAUUGAAAUA
Molecule: long non-coding RNA, 301 nt
Organism: Spodoptera litura
Lineage: Eukaryota; Metazoa; Arthropoda; Insecta; Lepidoptera; Noctuidae
Source: RefSeq, a predicted model, not a curated record